GUGGGGAAUCUUAGACAAUGGGCGCAAGCCUGAUCUAGCCAUGCCGCGUGAGCGAUGAAGGCCUUAGGGUUGUAAAGCUCUUUCGUGGGGGAAGAUAAUGACUGUACCCCAAGAAGAAGCCCCGGCUAACUCCGUGCCAGCAGCCGCGGUAAUACGGAGGGGGCUAGCGUUGUUCGGAAUUACUGGGCGUAAAGCGCACGUAGGCGGACUGGAAAGUCAGGGGUGAAAUCCCGGGGCUCAACCCCGGAACUGCCUUUGAAACUCCCAGUCUUGAGGUCGAGAGAGGUGGGUGGAAUUCCGAGUGUAGAGGUGAAAUUCGUAGAUAUUCGGAUGAACACCAGUGGCGAAGGCGGCUCACUGGCUCGAUACUGACGCUGAGGUGCGAAAGCGUGGGGAGCAAACAGGAUUAGAUACCCCGGUAGUCC
Molecule: ribosomal RNA, 425 nt
Filed under: uncultured bacterium
Lineage: Bacteria
Description: bacterial SSU rRNA
Rfam family: Bacterial small subunit ribosomal RNA
Source: RNAcentral